AGUCAAAAGAGACCUUGAAGAGCUAUUAGGGAAAAAAGGAGGUGCAGGGACUGUGUUUUAAGCGCAAGUUCUGGAAGUAAGAGACUGGAAUUUUCUGAGAGUAUUUCCAUGUAUUUGUGCUGAGCCAAGCUCAGAUCCAGGAGCUCUUCAGGGCCCUUCAACAGCAACAGUAAUGUUGGAUAAUAUUCUACAUUUGCAAGACAUUACUGCACUGUGUGUGUGCCACUAAAUAGUGCUCUUGUGUGCCAAGUACAGCUCUGCAGUGUGGAUAUUUCCAGGUGGGUAUGGCUCUGUGUAUGGCCCACGGAACCCAGUCCAGUUUCAGACACAGAGGAAAAAAUGUUCUUCAUCCCAGAAAACUCAAAGGUGCCAUGGGCCUGGUGUUUUCUGAGGGAUGUGGGCAUGCCCUGUCUGUGCUCUGAGACCAGGCAGCCACAGCCCAGCUCCAGCUGGAAGCUGCAGCAUGGAGAGGUUGGCUGGACAGAACUGGAGGUGCAUCCAAAGGGUCUGGCAGAGCUGCCUUCAGUGGUGGGCUCCUGGGGAGGGAGCCUUGUGUGCCUGCACAGUACCUACCCAAAUUAAGUCAAGUGAGAGAAUUAACAACCAUUCUGGCCACUGUAAUACAAACAGAAACAAAUUUUUGAAAUUUUAUAGAAUAAUGAUUGAGAAUGCUCUUGUUCCUGCAUUAAUAUGGUUUUGAAUUUGUGAAGACUUACUGCCCUUUUAUGCUAUUUCAUAUUUUUUAGAGUCAAAUAUAAAUAUGGAAUGCUAAUAAUAUUUUAAAAUUCUUUUUAUCUUUUAGGGCAGUCAGUGUAGGCAUGGAGGAAUAAACUUGCCAUUCCUAGACGACCUUUUGAAAGGAUUUGUUAAUUAUAGCAGUUAUUAUUUGAGUUUGACCAAAUCAAGAAGUAAUUAAUUUUUUAUUUGUGGGCAUAUUCCACAAAUAUAUAUAGAAAAAUAUAUUUGUGGAAUGGGGCUUGGUCUGUCUUCUGUGGGAGCAAUGGAAAUAUUCCAGUUGAUUUCUAUUCAUGAUUUAAAUGUGUAGCAAAAAAAAAUAGGCAAAUUGAUUUAAGUGAGAAUGAAGUCAAUAUUAUCACAGUGAGCAGAGCCUAAGGCACGAAUUCAAUUGGUGGAAUAUUUUUUUCCCCAGCAAUCUAUACCCGAGUUGAACCAGAUUCAAUAUUUCUAGGCUUUUGUCUUGUCUGCAGGCACAGCCAGGUUGGUUUCGAAGAUGCAGGCCUGAGCUCCUGCUAUGAAUGCUCAGAGCUCGUCAUUUGUUCUCCCUAAUUCCACAUCAGAACCUGUUAAGCCCAAAGACAGCCAGCAGUGGAAGGAUGCUGGCUCACUUCCAGCCACCUCAUUACCAUGAGCAGCACAGAUGGAUGUGAGCAUUCAUUAGCACUGAGUUCCCCGGGGAGCACAGUGAUUUGGAAAAAAGAGCAACGAUUUCCUGCCGAGGGAAUGAAAAGCUGGAAACUGAAUUCCUGCGUCCUGCGUCCACUGUUUUGGUUACAUUAGAAUAGGGUACUUAUUGAAUUCAACUGAAUAGGAAUUAAAACCCAGGGGCACCUAUCCAAGAUCUCUAUUGCUGGUAAAAUAGUUGCUAAACACCAGCAGUGUAGAUACCAAAACAACAGAGCUCAGUUCUCUUGGCCUUUCUACUUCUGAUUGCCCUUGAGCCUCUCUUAGAAACAGAGCUCCUUAUGUUACUCAGAUGAAAUAGUACUGAUUUAUAAAUCCUUGAAACAAAAACUGAGAUGAUUUUUACUUUUGCCUUUUGACUACUGGACAUUUCAGUCUUUUCAGCAAAAAGAGUUAGGAUUAUCCAGCAAAUUAUUCCUACAAAUGAAAAGGUGGUCAUGUCCUUUUGGAGCUACCCAAACUCAUUUAAAUUCAUAGAUCCCAUAAUCAGUGCUGUCAAGUCAGAUUUCAGUUUUUCUUUACAAACAUGCUCCAAAACCUAUUUGAAACAAACAACCAAACAAAAACCACCCCCCCCACACACACAAUUUAAUCAAUAUUUAAAUGCACACAUUGCUAAUGAAUUUUUUAACUGUCAUGUGAGACAGUUUGUUAUGGAAAUACUAAAGGGCUUAAAUGCAAAGAUGCAAAUUUUAGAAGAAAGACAAGAUAUGUUUGUUUUCAGCUGUGGAUUUAGCAGGAGAGGUGUGCCUGAGCAGUUGCUAUAGCUAUAGAGAAUUUUGGAUAAGAAGUUAAAUCUGUACUGCAGUGAUAUGCCUCUGGAGCAUGUGGAAUAUGAACAGAUAUAUUUGAGUGCUCCUAUCAUAGAACAGUCCUACUGUGACAGAUGAGGCACAAUUGUAAAAUUAGUCCCUGUCCAAAGGAUGCAGAAACCAAGGGAAAAUAGGUGGAUGCAACUGAAAAAUGGAGAUAAAACAACAAGCUGAAGUUUGUUUAUGUGCUGAUGGAGGAGGAGAGGUUUCCUGCACAGUGCCUGGGCAGGUGAUGAAGGCUUCUCACCAGAAUACCCUGCAGUCCUCAUCCUGUGCAUGCUAUCCACAAAGAGGGCUUGGAUCUCCCAAAAGCAAAUCAUGAAACAACCUGAGCCUACCUACUGCAUAUGACAGUAAAGUAACAAGGCAGAACUUGAAGAAAAUGCCAUUUCUGUUCUUCCUUGCUACCUGCUGUCAGGAAGGAGCUAGCAGCUCUGAAAUGUUGCAUGUGGAGGGGUUUCAAACAGUUAAAAUUAGCCUACCUGUAUGUUGUGUGCCUCAGUAUCAAGCAUUGAAGUACCUAAAUACAGUAUUUCACCAAGGUAGCACUGAUUUAACACUGUCCAGGAUGGAUGCCCAGCUCUCCUCUCUCAUCAACCUGUGCAGUGCAGAGGACCACACUGAUCCUAAGGUGACUUUCUGCCACCCUGAGGAGCUUUGGGCUUCUGAUGUGACAUGCAGCUGCAAAAAGGGUCAAGUGGGACUUGCUGCCUGUCCCAAAGCCACUGUCCAUCCUGGCACUGCAGACCUUCAGCCAGUGCUAAGCUCAAGGCUCAGCAGGAAGCACAAGUCAGGAAUCAAGACAAGCCAAGACACUGUGGGCAAGACCAUCACUUUUCCUUUGGGAGCUGUAAGGCUUCUUGAGCUGAGCUGUCCAGUUGAGAACCCAUUAUCUUCACUGGGUUCCUGCACACAUCCCUAUAUAUUCAGCUGUUUUCUGCUGGAAUUGGCACUUAGCAGAUAUUCUGCUCAGAAAGAAAAAUCAAUGGCUGAGAGUGAUUUCUGGGCACUGCUUUCCUUUUGCGUGACUACCCCUUAAUUUUAGAAUGUUUUCUUUAAAAAAUUAACAUAUCUCAUACUUGUGUCUGACCCAAGACUGAGUACUUCAAAAUUUUACUUUGAAUUGAACAAGUUCAAAUGUGAGGUUGCCAAUUUUAGAAAUAGAGAAUUUAGAAAAAACUCACACUGAGCUGAAAAAUUUGAAGACCUCUGCAUAGGCUUAUGUUUUUGUAAGGUACUCUUUUUAAAAUGUAAUCUUUUUGUGGUUGGUCAUAUUUCCUGGAACGAGUUACUAGAGUUCAGCUUUCUGCUUGUUAAAAAAAUAAAAAAUUAAUUAAUUGUAGAGCUUGGCAAAUAGAUUCUCAUUUACAUAAAAAGUAGAACAUGUGAUGGAUGGUUGUACAUGAAAGAUAUUAAAGAUAUAUGGUAAACUAAAUUUAACUGUGUGUUUUAAUCUCUAAAAGAUUGUAUAAAUAUUCAACUUUAGAAGAGUUUUCUGGAAGUUGUUCUGUCUGUACUCAUAAUUAAGAAUGCUGUAAUUUUUGUCUGGGCAAUUUUAUUCAGAUCCUCUUUUCCCCAAUUCAAUUUCUUGUUUAGAUUAAAAAAACAAACAGACAAAAACCCCAAAACAUUAAGAUGCCUUGCUAGAUACAUUCAGUGAGUGGGAUUUGCUCAGAAAUAGUUCAUUCUUUCUUGGCUGUUAACUUUGUCCCUCAUCUUUUUGUGCCAUGUUGUUGGAAAUCUGCUUUGAAAAGUGAGUAUUUACUUGACAGAUUUCCUAUGGCAUGAUUGCUGUGGUAUCUGAGUACUGCAUAAGCAUUAACUAAUUAAACCUCACAGCACCCUUGGGAGGUGAAGGCAUGCUAUUAUCCAAAUAUGACUGAUGAGGUAUUCAGGUGAAAACUUCCAUUAAUUUUGGGAGUCCACUCAGUACAAGUCACAUUUCCCUGUUUCUAGACCCUUUGCUGUGGAGCUGCGACUUACGAUGUUGGAGGACCCUGCAGGACUCUGCAAGGAGGGAAUUUUUAGAGUCACAGAUGGCAGGAUUCUUCUAGAAAUCACUCAGAAAUCUGGCAGAUCAGGUCGUGUAAGCACCUAUAGAUCUGUGAGACUACUUAGUUUGCAGAAAUCUUCAAAAUAAGCUAUUUUUUGCCAGUACAAAAAGUAUCUAUCUAUCUAUCUAUCUAUCUAUCUAUCUAUCUAUCUGUAUAUCUACACCAUUUUUCUGUCACAAACUUUCUUUAACUUUGAAUGCUGGAAUACUAGAUUUCAACAUGAAAUGUUGAAAAUUAUUCUCACAUAGUUAAAAUGCAUUUAAAGGUGUACACGGGCAAAAUAUUAUAAUAAUCCUUAGUAUCCACCUGAGAAAUAACUGAGUCAUUUGGGCCAAGGCAGGAAAUCGUUAAAAUAUUUUUCUAGGUUUUCUCUAA
Zonotrichia albicollis (white-throated sparrow) is the source of this 4663-nucleotide non-coding RNA. The record is from RefSeq and is a predicted model, not a curated record. Lineage: Eukaryota; Metazoa; Chordata; Aves; Passeriformes; Passerellidae.